Molecule: ribosomal RNA, 782 nt
Filed under: uncultured delta proteobacterium
Lineage: Bacteria; Deltaproteobacteria
Description: bacterial SSU rRNA
Rfam family: Bacterial small subunit ribosomal RNA
Source: RNAcentral
ACUCCUACGGGAGGCAGCAGUCGAGAAUCAUUGACAAUGCACGAAAGUGUGAUCAUGCGACGCCGCGUGGAGGAAGACGGCCCUUGGGUUGUAAACUCCUGUCAGCAGGGAGUAAGGGUAGCAUUACUAAUAUUAAUGUUAUUUGAUAGUACCUGCAGAGGAAGUCACGGCUAACUCUGUGCCAGCAGCCGCGGUAAUACAGAGGUGGCGAACGUUGUUCGGAUUUACUGGGCGUAAAGGGUCCGCAGGCGGCUCGGUGUGUCAGAUGUGAAAGCCCACGGCUUAACUGUGGAAUUGCAUUUGAAACUGCCGGGCUAGAGUACUGGAGGGGAGAAGGGAACACUUGGUGUAGCGGUGAAAUGCGUAGAUAUCAAGUGGAACACCGGAGGCGAAGGCGCUCCUCUGGACAGAUACUGACGCUCAUGGACGAAAGCUUGGGUAGCGAAAGGGAUUAGAUACCCCUGUAGUCCAAGCCGUAAACGGUGUGCACUAGACGUGGGUGGAUUUACCCCCAUCCGUGUCUGAGCUAACGCAUUAAGUGCACCGCCUGGGGAGUACGGUCGCAAGAUUAAAACUCAAAGGAAUUAACGGGGACCCGCACAAGCGGUGGAGCAUGUGGCUUAAUUCGAUGCAACGCGAAGAACCUUACCUGGACCUGACAUAUAGCUGCAUAUGACUCGAAAGAGACAUAGCCUUCGAGGGUGCUAUACAGGUGCUGCAUGGCUGUCGUCAGCUCGUGCCGUGANGUGUUGGGUUAANUCCCGCAACNANCGCACUCUUGU